RNAcentral lists this long non-coding RNA (1781 nucleotides) under Hordeum vulgare. RNAcentral describes it as "long non-coding RNA (HVUL_LNC018102)". The record is from RNAcentral. Lineage: Eukaryota; Viridiplantae; Streptophyta; Magnoliopsida; Poales; Poaceae.
UAAGAUAAAGGUUCUUUUAAUUUACUGAAAUUAACUUUUACUUGAGUGAUGUCCUAAGGUCAACCUAUAUAAAUGCACAUGUCUGAACUGAAAAUACAGCCACACACCAACUUCACACAGUACAAAAUUGAUAUGAUGCUUGCGUUGUGACUGAGUGUCUUAUGGCGCAAUGUCUCUGAAUAAAGUGCAUGGGUUGGAAAUUAACUGAAAGUACUGAACAAAAUUAUUGACAUCAGAGAGCAGGAAAAUAUGAGUUUAAUUUCUCAGUUACAACAGUAUUGUACUGUAUCUGUAACGAUAUAUUCUUACCAUGAUAAUAAAUAUUUGGUUCACAGCUAUUGAUUAUCACAAGUAGAAACCAGCAAACGCAUUACAUAUGUUCAGUAAAGCCUUUCAAUAUUUUUUCCGUCGGUGUCACAAAAUGAACACUCCAAGUGGUAUGUUUGAGCAUCCAUUCGUGAUUGCUCAUACGUGAUGUGGUGAUUACUUGGUAUGCAUGUCUUGCUUGCAUAUGUUAACUGAAGAUCCAUUUGUAAAGUACAAGACUGAGAAGUGAGAACUACCUUCAGGUUGCACAAAAGUUCCAAAUAAUCAUACUAAUGAUUUAGCCUUUCAGUUGAGCAUUGUAGAACUGUCACAAAUAUAAGAGUCUAUAUUUAAUCUUCAUGUUAUGAGAACAAGAACUUCAGCUUAUUUAACCCUGCUAUGGAAUAAUUAGCUCGAGAAUCACAAUGAGCCUUUUGUUUUCUUUGAAUGUUCACGACACUUCUACACAAGAAUUCCUACUUCUCGCUACUCAUGCGCUUCCGGCGGGUGGCGCAGUGAUUCCCUGCCCUUUUGCCACAACCUACCCACCAAUUGGUUGGUCUAGUGAGAUAUCUACAUAUUGGGUAUCUUACUAAAGUUAGUUGUAUACCAAGUUAAUUUAUGUUUCUUGCCAGAUGGUGCUAUGUCUUGAAUUAAUUCUUUUUUCUGUAGGCAGGUAAUGCUAGAUCCAAAGUUAAUCAUGGCAAGUCAAAGGUAUCUCAUACAUCAGACAACUAGAGUCAUCUAACAACGUCUUCUCUCAGCAUGGCGCUGUUCUCGAAUGUUGUCCUAACAUACCUAUUCUAACUACUUGAUGUUGGACUUGUGAUUUUGUUAGGCUUGUCCUCUCACUGAUUAAUGUGCUAGAUGGCAUCCCUUGUGAGGAGAACCAAAGGAUACGGUUUCAUCAAGUGCAAAGACCAAAUCGUUUAUUUGGUUGGUCUUGGCCUGUUGUGCUAUUAUUGUUAUACUGAUGUCCACAUUCCAAAUUAGCAAUUAGUUGCUCGAGGGUGGAAUGCUUACUUUAUGAAUUAUUAUGCAUGGCUAGUUAAUACACUUCUAUAACUAUGUAAUUUCCAUUUGCAGCUUCUAGGUUCUAGCUUUGUAGUGUGCAUCAUCUAGCUAAAAUGUUGAAAUGAUGUGAAAGUAUCUUAGAUAUUGUUGGUGUGCUGUUGUGAGCUGAAUUCUAGGUGUACAUUGAUGCAAAUGAACAUGGGAAUAGCUUCAGAAUUAUUCUUCACAUUUUUUACUAAAAGAUUGAACCACUUUCAUAUCUUGAAAUGAGAAUUUACUCAAGUUUCUAUUUGUGCUAGCGAUAAUUUUACUAUCAUGUUCAUAUAAGUAAAAUGCCAAAUACAAAUGGCCUUCAUUAGCAUAACUAUAUUACCAACACAAUAUGUAGUUGAAAAUCCCAAUACAAAUGAUAUCUUUAGUUCCUAGGACAGAUUUCGAUGGAUUAGUUCGUAAAGCAAGCG